GACGAACGCUGGCGGCGUGCUUAACACAUGCAAGUCGAACGGAAAGGCCCUGCUUUUGUGGGGUGCUCGAGUGGCGAACGGGUGAGUAACACGUGAGUAACCUGCCCUUGACUUUGGGAUAACUUCAGGAAACUGGGGCUAAUACCGGAUAUGAGCUCCUGCUGCAUGGUGGGGGUUGGAAAGUUUCGGCGGUUGGGGAUGGACUCGCGGCUUAUCGGCUUGUUGGUGUGGUAGUGGCUUACCAAGGGUUUGACGGGUAGGCGGCCUGAGAGGGUGACCGGCCACAAUGGGACUGAGAGACGGACCAGAAUCGUAUGGGAGGCAGCAGGGGGGAAUAUUGCACAAUGGGCGGAAGCCUGAUGCAGCAACGCCGGGUGCGGGAUGACGGCCUUCGGGUUGUAAACAGAUUUCGCCUGUGACGAAGCGUGAGUGACGGUAAUGGGUAAAGAAGCACCGGCUAACUACGUG
RNAcentral lists this ribosomal RNA (468 nucleotides) under uncultured bacterium. RNAcentral describes it as "partial 16S ribosomal RNA". It matches the Rfam family "Bacterial small subunit ribosomal RNA", at positions 28 to 507 of the family's 1533-position model. The record is from RNAcentral.